GACGAACGCUGGCGGCGUGCUUAACACAUGCAAGUCGAACGGUGAACGAGGGAGCUUGCUCCCUCCGGAUCAGUGGCGAACGGGUGAGUAACACGUGAGCAAUCUGCCCCGAACUCUGGGAUAAGCGUUGGAAACGACGUCUAAUACCGGAUACGCCGCGGGAGGGCAUCCUCUCCGCGUGGAAAGAACUUCGGUUCGGGAUGAGCUCGCGGCCUAUCAGCUUGUUGGUGAGGUAACGGCUCACCAAGGCGACGACGGGUAGCCGGCCUGAGAGGGUGACCGGCCACACUGGGACUGAGACACGGCCCAGACUCCUACGGGAGGCAGCAGUGGGGAAUAUUGCACAAUGGGCGCAAGCCUGAUGCAGCAACGCCGCGUGAGGGACGACGGCCUUCGGGUUGUAAACCUCUUUUAGCAGGGAAGAAGCGAAAGUGACGGUACCUGCAGAAAAAGCACCGGCUAACUACGUG
This 470-nucleotide ribosomal RNA is filed under the name uncultured bacterium. RNAcentral describes it as "partial 16S ribosomal RNA". It matches the Rfam family "Bacterial small subunit ribosomal RNA", at positions 28 to 507 of the family's 1533-position model. The record is from RNAcentral.